CACGUAGGGCGCAAGCGUUGUCCGGAAUUAUUGGGCGUAAAGAGCUCGUAGGCGGUCUGUUGCGUCCGCUGUGAAAACUCGGGGCUUAACCCCGAGCCUGCAGUGGAUACGGGCAGACUAGAGGUAGGUAGGGGAGAAUGGAAUUCCCGGUGUAGCGGUGAAAUGCGCAGAUAUCGGGAGGAACACCGGUGGCGAAGGCGGUUCUCUGGGCCUUACCUG
Molecule: ribosomal RNA, 219 nt
Filed under: uncultured bacterium
Lineage: Bacteria
Description: partial 16S ribosomal RNA
Rfam family: Bacterial small subunit ribosomal RNA
Source: RNAcentral